Molecule: ribosomal RNA, 460 nt
Filed under: uncultured bacterium
Lineage: Bacteria
Description: partial 16S ribosomal RNA
Rfam family: Bacterial small subunit ribosomal RNA
Source: RNAcentral
CCUACGGGAGGCAGCAGUGAGGAAUAUUGGUCAAUGGGCGCGAGCCUGAACCAGCCAAGUCGCGUGAAGGAUGACUGCACUACGGGUUGUAAACUUCUUUUAUAAAGGAAUAAAGUGAGGCACGUGUGCCUUUUUGUAUGUACUUUAUGAAUAAGGAUCGGCUAACUCCGUGCCAGCAGCCGCGGUAAUACGGAGGAUCCGAGCGUUAUCCGGAUUUAUUGGGUUUAAAGGGAGCGUAGGUGGGGUGUUAAGUCAGUUGUGAAAGUUUGGGGCUCAACCGUAAAAUUGCAUUUGAUACUGGCAGUCUUGAGUACAGGAGAGGUAGGCGGAAUUCGUGGUGUAGCGGUGAAAUGCUUAGAUAUCACGAAGAACUCCGAUUGCGAAGGCAGCUUACUAACCUGCCACUGACAUUGAGGCUCGAAAGUGUGGGUAUCGAACAGGAUUAGAUACCCGGGUAGUC